UCAGCCAUCCCACCUCUUUUUGAAUCCCAGCAAUUUCUAGCCCACUCCAAGCCCGACCUGGCCCAAAUUCUUUCCCUUCACAAAAGAAACCCAGAAGAAAUGAUAAAGAAACAAUCAAACGCCAAAUUUAUGGCAUAGCACAACAUUCACAACGACAAUGCAUGAACGAAUCCACCCUAUGCUUGUACGUGCAUCAUGUGAAGGAGAACAAGAGAAAGUUCAAGAAAGCGCAACAACGGUCUCAAAUGGGGAGCACACGGUGUCUAUGUACGAGUUUCUUGUCGUUUCUUCUUCUUUUGAUGUUCCAGCACAGUCAUGCUGCUCCAAAAGUUAAAGCACCUAUAAUUUCAUCCUCGCAGUCGCACGAAUCGUCACUACUCGCCUGGAGAUGAAGCCACUUAGCACUUAAGGAUAAUCGAUUCAAUAGAAAAUGCUUGCGUCCUUUUCAACUUUUGUGCUUUUGAAAAGUUGGAUUUCCUCGUACAAGAUCAGCUUUGUCUCGACUUUGGGAUGAAAAAAUUAGAAAUGUAAUUGGGUGGGAAUGUCAAUUUUUCCCUAUAGCUUCUCCGAAAUCACUCGUCUCUCCCCUUUAAUUUUCGACCUAAAUCCCCGUCGAUAUAAAUGUAUCUUCUUCUCUAUUCAUGGGUUGGAGAUUUUAUGUUAGGAAAAUUUUGAGUUACUGUCUAUACAUAGUUAUAUAUAUAAAUAUUAGGAAAUAUGUUUUCAUGUGAUAGAGAUUAGGAAUCAUAUUUCUACUCUGUUCAUCAUGUUCUCGAAGACGUAUUUUAGUGGUGAUGAAGUCAUCGCCUGCUUGCCUCGUCCUAGUCUUGCUGCUUGUAUAAAGGUAACACUUUCUCUUUCGUAAUAUUUUCUUGUCUCCUAUAUUUUGAAAUGGUGUUUUCCAGGAAGUUUAUUUUGGUGCUGAUGGUUAUUGGAAUCUUGACAUAUAGGUACACCUUAUUUGUGAUGCUUUAAUUAUUCCAUUGUCUACUAAUGAGUAUCGUUUUUGUUCUUGUUCAUUCAUGCCUAGAUUUGUUGAUUCAUUGUUUAUUUUAAGGGUAUUUCAUUAUCUCUUAUUUAGUUUAUUUGUUUGAAUGUUGAUGAACCUACAUGUCUUCCUUUCCCUUGAAUGCUAACAUCAGUAUCCAUAUUCGGUGUAUUUAUUUUUAUUUUUUAAAAAACUUUAGGUCUGGUUUUCUUUCAAAAGAAAAGAAAAGUUCUCUCAUGGUUUAGUCCAACUGUUUAAAUUAGUUAUUUAGCAUUUGCCAGUUUUUAAUCAAGAUCAUUGUUGUUGGUGGUGAUCUUGUACUUCUAUUCAACUCUAGGUUGCGCUUAUUUCCGGGAAAACUCAAGUCCAAAUGGACAAGGUCAUUCCUCGUCACCAAAGUGUUUCCUAAUGGAGAAGCUGAGCUGGAGAACAAGGAAGGCACAAGGUUCAUAGUCAAUGGGUAAACAAUGAAGAUCUAUCUGAGGCACGCGGAAAGUGUUCAAGAACCGGUUGAGGCCUAUCAUCUUGAUGAAGUCUGAGUAUUCAAGGGGCAUCCGUCGUGCUGCGAUGUUAAAUCAAGCGCUACUUGGGGGUAACUCAAGGAAGAAAGAUUUGAAAUCUACAGGAAAUGGUCUGGUGCAGAGGUUUGCAUACCUCAUCAAAGUGCCAUCGUUCAAUCGUGGAACCGUCAAUGGUGUCCGUAAAUCCCAAGUAAGAUUCCAAAUUUUCUAAUUCUAAGAGUGAUCAACGGUCAUGAUCAUUAGACUGUCAAUCUAUCUACAUACCGUCAAUGAGGUCUCAUUACCAGUGAACCGACCCAAACCCGACCGUCUAUAUUGAAAACCCACCAUUCAAAUUCUUCCCCCCUUUCCAUUUUCUUUCCAAAUUCUAUCCAUAACCAUUUCUCUAAUUUUCUCCCUGAAUCACUCCCCAUAUCAUCACCAAAUCUAUACAAUCCCUCUUUCUUAUCGCUUUCCCCAAAUCCUAAUCGACUGGUGAUCGGGUUUGGCACACAUUGACUUUGUCUUUGGGAUUGCACAUCAAUGUAGGGACACAAUCACUACACUCUUUGAGAUGAUAAACGAAAAGAGGUGAUUACCAUACUGAUCACAUAGGUACAUCGAGUCCUCAUGGAGACUCUACAUACACUUUGAGAGGUGCACCGACUCUUUACCUUCCACAAGUGAAAUUGAAUGGCUUAGGACUUAGGCACAUAUAGUGAGGAGAUUGUGCAGGAUUUCUAUGCCUCCUAUGCUACCACUCUCCGAGGUCCCAUGGACAAGUGGGAAAAACCCACCAAACAGGACCCUUUCACUUCUACACUAGUCCGAGGUUGCCGGGUCAACAUCUCGCAAGCAACCAUCGAACGAAUCCUAUACAGACCCAACCACCGGUAUAGAGUGGAUUUAUUAUACUUUGAAGUUUUAUUAUAGGUGGGACAUUAUUUGGGGUGGUGAUUUUCAAAGAAGUGCGGAGAAGCGAGAGAUAUUGAAAAUGUGGUUGUCUCAAUAUAUAGAGAUAGAUGUGAGCUGGUUGACUUGGUCAUAGCACCCCGAGUAAGCAUCAAGAAGGACAUACUAAUUUUAGCGGCCAAAUUCUUUUGGUUGCUGGUCCGAAACAGAGUGUCACCCACACAGGCUGACAAUCACUCAGAUGGGACAGGGCUCUCAUGGUGGCAGCAUCGUAGCAGGGCUAGAGAUUGACUUUGCUCGGAUGAUGUUAGUGGAGAUACACGAGAAGGCAUUUAAGAUCUCCACUACUUACCCAUUUCUGUGUUUGAUCUUUUAUAUGUACAAGGAUGUUGGAGUGUCAAUCUGGAAUUUGAUACACUUCUCUACCAUAUCAAGACAUUGGAUAUAGGUCUAAUCAAGGAUGAGGCUAAUGUGGUAGCACAUGCAGAGGGCCUCGAGUCGAGGUUCCUUCUUUGGGAGACAAUCUUGAAGACAUGGUGGAGCUAGCCCAAGGGGUUGAUCCCUCCAUUCCCAAAGCAUGUCGAUCCCACUCCGACCUUUUCUUCGCAUGCAGCCAAUAGGACCCCUAACUCUCCAUAUCCACACCACCAGCUGCAGCAGUGAUUUCUCUAGCUAGAGUCCAAAAUCUAGAGACGCAGAUAGUCACUUUACUCCAUCACAUACAACCAUAGAUGCAGAAGUCCAUAGCGGAGGCAAAGGAUCGCAUAGAGAAGCGGGUGUCCAAGCAGAUGGAGCAUCAAAUUGAGGCAGUUCACAAAUGCCUUGACGCUUUUAAGCUGCGUGUUUUGGCCCGACAAAACCCACCACUGAUCUCGCUACCAUUCAAAAAGAGUUGGCUAGACUGCGAGCCCACAUUGAUGCUAUUUUCGACAUGCAAAGGACUGAGAUAGAGCUAGCUGAAAACAUUGUUCUUGAAGUCUUGUACAAGGUCCUUGCUGAGAUAAAGCCCAAACCCCGUGUUUGUGGCAACUUUCACCAUUUUAGCCGCACCGCUGAGGCUGGUGAUGAGGCCCGUUCAAGAAAAAAAGAGCAUACAAAGCUGGAACAGGCUAUGAGGGCCUCAUUAGUGGAUGAAGAGAUGCACCAAAGGAGGGUGCAAGAGGCAUCCAAUUCCAUGCAUAUGAGCGGAGCAAAGAGCACUACGAAUGGUGUAGAGAUAGAUGUAUAUGGCAUUACCGAUACUGUCAUCCUUAUAGAUGUGGGCACUAUUGAUGGUGACCCAAUGGCUGAUCCUGCUAGCUCUGGAAAACCAAACCCACUCGCUUGUUGAGAGGUCUUCGGCGCUAUGUGCCACAGGUUUGCUUCACCUUUCAUCAUAAUGUUCAUAAUUUAUUUUACAUUGGGGACAAUUGCAUUAUUUUUGUUAGGGUUGUGUAAAUGGAAUGUGAGUGAUAGGGUGAAGUCUGAGUAUCUCAACUCACAAUUCUCUAUUAGGGUUUACUUGUUUGUAUUCUUUUUCCCCAAGAGACUGCUUAAAUUUCUGUUAAACUGGCAUGUAUUAGUGAGUGUAUGUGUAGAAGCAUGAAAGACUGAAGCAUGAUGGCUAAUGAAAAAUGAUACCCCCAUCAAAUUGUAGUGCUUAAAGUAUAGGUUCAGAUAAGUUGUUUGUGUUGAGUCUAAACAUGACAGGAAAAGGCACCAACUUCAUGACAUUCAACCAAAACUUAAACUGGGAAUCAUGAUUAUCUAAUAGUGCAACGAUGGGCCAAGUGAAUGUGAGGAUAUUUGAGUGUUCAACAGUUUGUGUCUAACUCAAACUUGAUCGGUUAGUCUUGCUAAAAAUCUACUAUACAAGCUAGGAAAUGGUCAUAUACCCUUGUUCAAAAUAGCCCAUAUCUAUCCUAAAAGAGGUUAACCAAAUGAAAUAAAUGUUCCCUUUUGAUUUAAAUAUGUUGAGCCAGUAAUAGACCAUUUUUUUACCAACUCACCUUCCCAGGGUAUAAUGUUUUGGCCAGUCCCUCCUUGGACAUAUGUAUCUCGACUUAGGCAAAAGCCUAAGUUGAGGGUGGCUAAUACAAAAAGUGACCUCGUCUUGGCCCUGACCCGACAUCACGCAUUGUGCACCUUGACUCAUGGAAAACAUAUGAGUUAAGGAUGGAUAUUAUGAAAGAAGACCCAAAAAUGGGUGUGAAAAGUGUUGGAUGUUCAAAAGAAAUGCAUAAUUAAGAGAAGGAUGUGACUUGGCGAAAAUGAAAGAACAGUUGAAAAAAAUAAGGAGAUAAGAAAAGGAAGAGUACUCUGAGAAAAAGAUACAAAAAAGUGAAGUCAUGUCUUAAAGGGAAAUAAGGCAAAAGUGAAGAUAAAAGAAAUAGGGGGUCAAGAACAAAAAAA
Solanum lycopersicum (tomato) is the source of this 4791-nucleotide non-coding RNA. Lineage: Eukaryota; Viridiplantae; Streptophyta; Magnoliopsida; Solanales; Solanaceae. The record is from RefSeq and is a predicted model, not a curated record.